UAAAUCUUUGUUAGAAGAUACAAAGACAAAGACUCAUACGGACUUCAACUACACUAUCAAAGCUUGGAGAAGCAAGAAGAAGCUUGGUUAGUGUUUUGGAGUCGAAUAUGACUUGAUGCCAUGUGUAUGACUCAAUAUAAAAACUAGAACCGCAACAGAUCUUAAAAGCAUAAGUAUUGUAUCAUUGUUAGAAGAUACAAUGACGAAGACUCAUAUGGACUUCGGCUACACCAUCAAAGCUUUGAGAAGCAAGAAGCAGCUUGGUUAGUGGUUCGGAGUCGAAUAUGACUUGAUGUCAUGUGUAUGAGUGAGUAUAAAAACUAGAACCGCAACGGAUCUUAAAAGCCUAAAUAUUGUAUCCUUGUUAGAAGAUACAUAGACAAAGACUCAUACGGAAUUCGGCUAAACCAUCAAAGCUUUUAGAAGCAAGAAGAAGCUUGGUUAGUGUUUUGGAGUGAAAUAUGACUAGCUGUCAUGUGUAUGGGUGAGUAUACCAUCUAGAACCGCAAUUGGAAUUUUAAAAGCCUAAGUAUUGUAUCCUUGUUAGAAGAUACAAAGACAAACACUCAUACGGACUUUGGCUACACCAUCAAAGCUUUGAGAAGCAAGAAGAAGCUUGGUUAGUGUUUUCGAGUCGAAUAUGACUAGAUGUGAUGUGUAUGAUUGAGUAUAAGAAAUUAAAGCGCAACCGGAUCUUAAAAGCCUAAGUAGUGUUUCCUUGUUAGAAGAUACAAAGGCAAAGCCUCAUACAGACUUUAGCUAUACCAUCAAAGACUUGAGAAGAAAGAAGAAGCUUGGUUAGUGUUUUGGAGUCAAAUAUUACUAGAUGUCAUGUGUAUGAGUGAGUAUGACAACUAGAACCAUAACCGGAUCUGAA
This 877-nucleotide small RNA is filed under the name Arabidopsis thaliana (thale cress). RNAcentral's name for it is "ATSL270240". The record is from RNAcentral. Lineage: Eukaryota; Viridiplantae; Streptophyta; Magnoliopsida; Brassicales; Brassicaceae.